This 496-nucleotide ribosomal RNA is filed under the name uncultured bacterium. RNAcentral's name for it is "partial 16S ribosomal RNA". It matches the Rfam family "Bacterial small subunit ribosomal RNA", at positions 28 to 506 of the family's 1533-position model. The record is from RNAcentral.
GAUGAACGCUGGCGGCGUGCCUAAUACAUGCAAGUCGAGCGAACAGACGAGGAGCUUGCUCCUCUGACGUUAGCGGCGGACGGGUGAGUAACACGUGGAUAACCUACCUAUAAGACUGGGAUAACUUCGGGAAACCGGAGCUAAUACCGGAUAAUAUAUUGAACCGCAUGGUUCAAUAGUUAAAGACGGUUUUGCUGUCACUUAUAGAUGGAUCCGCGCCGCAUUAGCUAGUUGGUAAGGUAACGGCUUACCAAGGCAACGAUGCGUAGCCGACCUGAGAGGGUGAUCGGCCACACUGGAACUGAGACACGGUCCAGACUCCUACGGGAGGCAGCAGUAGGGAAUCUUCCGCAAUGGGCGAAAGCCUGACGGAGCAACGCCGCGUGAGUGAUGAAGGUCUUCGGAUCGUAAAACUCUGUUAUUAGGGAAGAACAAAUGUGUAAGUAACUAUGCACGUCUUGACGGUACCUAAUCAGAAAGCCACGGCUAACUACGU